This 254-nucleotide ribosomal RNA is filed under the name uncultured bacterium. Its description in RNAcentral is "partial 16S ribosomal RNA". It matches the Rfam family "Bacterial small subunit ribosomal RNA", at positions 526 to 779 of the family's 1533-position model. The record is from RNAcentral.
CGGAGGGUGCAAGCGUUAUCCGGAUUUAUUGGGUUUAAAGGGUCCGUAGGCGGACUCGUAAGUCAGUGGUGAAAUCUCAUAGCUUAACUAUGAAACUGCCAUUGAUACUGCGGGUCUUGAGUAAGGUAGAGGUAGCUGGAAUAAGUAGUGUAGCGGUGAAAUGCAUAGAUAUUACUUAGAACACCAAUUGCGAAGGCAGGUUACCAUGUCUUAACUGACGCUGAUGGACGAAAGCGUGGGGAGCGAACAGGAUU